UCAGGACCUUUGUUCUGUAUCUGGAUUACUCUCUUGUCUUGCCCUCCUGGAUAUCGUACGCUGUCGACUGAUCUCCGCCUGUUUAUUGGACCGCCUUUGUCUUGUCUUCAAUACUCCUGUUCACCAUUGUUUGACUUCUGUCCAUUUAUGACCAUUUCUUUUAUUAAAGCUUGCAAGUGGAUCUGCAUGUUUCCCGUCUGUGUCAUCUGGUUCAUCAUUUAUGAGUUUAGACUGUCAUAUUUAUUUUUUAUGUAUGUGUGAAUGAUGGUUAUCACAUUACAGCAACAGGAUAUGGGUUUUUCUGCACCUUAGGUACAGUGCUAGCUUUUCUCAGACUUUACUUCCCAUUUCUUGUCAAGGUGUAAACCAUUUGUCUAUAGUGAAGAAGUAGAAAAACACAGUCAACACAAGACAACUUGAAACAAAGGGGGAUCUGUGCACAUACAAAGAUCUUGCAGAAUUCGACUACAACAUCAUCAAACUUCCCUCAGAAGAUGGCUAGUCUUUUAAUAAAGUAAUGUCUUGCAUUUCUGAAACGGAGUGAUGUUUUCAUCCAAUUUCCAUUGAGUGCUUUACUAUAUGGAUUAGAGGCAUUGGUUGAAAUCCACUUUUCAUGCCCGUGCAAUGUUAAGAUGAAUGAUCCUUUAGCACUGACAAUGUUCUUGGGACCUUUUUUGUUUAUAUUUGCCAUAAUGUUCAUGUUUUAUCGGCCUUUUAAACAUGGUUAUUGUCAUUGUGCUAAGAAAGCAAAUGGUGAAACCGAAGAUGAAACUCGGCAGAGCUGGCCUAAAUCUUUUGGAUAUUGUCUGAUCUGUAAUGUGGGUCAUCAUCUUGUUUCUUGAUGGAGAUUAUUAUGCUUGUGGUCGUACAGACUGGAAUGGACAUUAUGUUUUUGAUGAGAAGCUCAACAGGUCUUGGUGUAAACCUACCGAGGGGAUGCGAACUGAGACAGAGCUACGCAGUUUGACUAGCUAUAAUCUUCAUUAUUCUCGGUAUAUAGGUUACAUCUUGAUGAGUGUCCUUGGUAGUGUGCUGUUAAUCACAGUGGGUGUUUAUGACUGCUGCAUAACUGGAAAAUGGGACUGGUGCCCAAGUUCAAUAUUAAGAAAGUGUGGAGGAACACAUCCAGAGCAGGGGAGUCAGACACAGAGAAGUACUGAAACAGAGAAUCCAAGCCCUGUGGUUAGACCAACGGAACAGAACUUGAUCCCUUGAAGAGGGCUUAAGCUCUGACCAAUCCCACGAGCCCAGACCCCCUAGCGACGUCCAUGAUCCUGAGACAGAGAAUAGACGAGGUGAAGGACCGACUGAAUCAGCAGAGGCUGAGCCUUUAAUCAAAAAAAUUUUUUUUCCAUAAAAUUCCUGCCCAUGUCUUUCUAUCUUCGGCACAUAUAUUAUAUUUAGAAAUUUAAGGGACAAAUUAAAGUCUUAUGGUAAAAUCUCGAUAUAAUUGCCUUAAUAACAUUAUGUUACAAUUAUAUUUAUUGGUAAUAUAUAUUUCUCCUAUAU
Molecule: long non-coding RNA, 1509 nt
Organism: Carassius carassius (crucian carp)
Lineage: Eukaryota; Metazoa; Chordata; Actinopteri; Cypriniformes; Cyprinidae
Exons: 3
Source: RefSeq, a predicted model, not a curated record